This 929-nucleotide ribosomal RNA is filed under the name Nocardiopsis alba. RNAcentral's name for it is "bacterial SSU rRNA". It matches the Rfam family "Bacterial small subunit ribosomal RNA", at positions 82 to 1009 of the family's 1533-position model. The record is from RNAcentral. Lineage: Bacteria; Bacillati; Actinomycetota; Actinomycetes; Streptosporangiales; Nocardiopsidaceae.
UCGGGGUACACGAGCGGCGAACGGGUGAGUAACACGUGAGCAACCUGCCCCUGACUCUGGGAUAAGCGGUGGAAACGCCGUCUAAUACCGGAUACGACCUUCCGCCUCAUGGUGGAGGGUGGAAAGUUUUUUCGGUCAGGGAUGGGCUCGCGGCCUAUCAGCUUGUUGGUGGGGUAACGGCCUACCAAGGCGAUUACGGGUAGCCGGCCUGAGAGGGCGACCGGCCACACUGGGACUGAGACACGGCCCAGACUCCUGCGGGAGGCAGCAGUGGGGAAUAUUGCGCAAUGGGCGAAAGCCUGACGCAGCGACGCCGCGUGGGGGAUGACGGCCUUCGGGUUGUAAACCUCUUUUACCACCAACGCAGGCUCCGGGUUCUCUCGGGGUUGACGGUAGGUGGGGAAUAAGGACCGGCUAACUACGUGCCAGCAGCCGCGGUAAUACGUAGGGUCCGAGCGUUGUCCGGAAUUAUUGGGCGUAAAGAGCUCGUAGGCGGCGUGUCGCGUCUGCUGUGAAAGACCGGGGCUUAACUCCGGUUCUGCAGUGGAUACGGGCAUGCUAGAGGUAGGUAGGGGAGACUGGAAUUCCUGGUGUAGCGGUGAAAUGCGCAGAUAUCAGGAGGAACACCGGUGGCGAAGGCGGGUCUCUGGGCCUUACCUGACGCUGAGGAGCGAAAGCAUGGGGAGCGAACAGGAUUAGAUACCCUGGUAGUCCAUGCCGUAAACGUUGGGCGCUAGGUGUGGGGACUUUCCACGGUUUCCGCGCCGUAGCUAACGCAUUAAGCGCCCCGCCUGGGGAGUACGGCCGCAAGGCUAAAACUCAAAGGAAUUGACGGGGGCCCGCACAAGCGGCGGAGCAUGUUGCUUAAUUCGACGCAACGCGAAGAACCUUACCAAGGUUUGACAUCACUCGUGGACCUGUAGAGAUAC